AACCACCGCCAGCCAGGAGAUUCACAGAACACCAGGACUGAAACAUCCUCGAGUCUUGGUGCUUGAAUAAGAAAUUGGGUCGGAUCUGCAGAAAAGCCGGCAAAUCAAAAAAGUCCUUCAGUCGCAAGGAAGCUGAAGCUACCUUUAAGAGUUUGGUGAAGACUCAUGAGAAAUAUGGCUGGGUCACCCCGCCCGUCUCUGAUGGCUGAUGUUGGCCGCGUGCAUUAGACGCUUGAGCGCCUGUCCACACACACACACCAGUACCCCGCCAUCUCCUCCUGACGCUCCGCAUCCUCCAUCCUUUUCACUCCAGCCAGAACUGCAUCCUGAAUGCCAAGGAGACGUUAAGUUAUUUAUCAACAGACGUGUUUACAGACAGAAAGAGGGAUUGUGUGUCAAUGAUGAACGAAGGAUCACCUCUGAGUCACUUUAGAACACGGGUCGAGAUGGUGACAUCUCCCAGCCCGCCUGCCCCUCCGCCCGCCCCAGUCACAUUGCCCUUAGCUUCUUCCCAUGACAGCAGCUCCAGUGAGCUGGCAGGAAACUCAGUGGCCCAGCUCGCUCCAUUUCCAUGUCAACGGCACUGUUCACACUGAACUGGGGAAGCAUGCAUCGCCGGCACAUGUCUGCUGUGCUCUGUAUCUCUGUUUCUCCUCUGGGCAGGUCGACAUAACUUGAAGAUGUGUCUUUCUGUGGCCCAUGGUCCACUGUGAUGACAUUUAGACCUCAUUUGUGCUAAGACCCUUGGCUCAUGAAACACAGAUCUCACGUUGCCAGGUUCUAGUGAUUUCAGACAACAACUGCCCACUGGAUUAAAAACGUGCUGUCGAUGCUGAUUUGUGGUGUGCUGCUGUCUACGGAGAAACCAGUGCCGUGCGAUGGAAAGCAGAGGGGUGCCGCCCGGGGCUGGCAGUGGUGCGGACACCACCAGGUGUAGCCCCUGGGGCUCAGAGCGACGGACGGGCCGGCCGGCUGCGAACAGUCUCGUCCGACGCUAGGAACUGCUCCGACCACAGUGCAUUUGUGUUCCCGUCUUCUCUCAACCACCAAAAGCUAAAGACAAUUUCCCAUUCACUGCGGUCAUCUGACUCAUUUUAUUAUCUGUGCUAGUGACAGGGAAUGUCAGAACUGCCAAAGGAUGCCAAGUGAUCGUAUGAUGAUUUGCAUGACCGGGUCUAUUUCUUCACCUAAUUGUCACUUGUGUGUCCCCCGGGGUUGGGAUGCGUGAGCGCCCUCGCUGUGGUGUAAACUUCCUGUUAUUUAAUCUCCCCACAGUUUCAUUUUUCUCUUCUGUUACUUAGAACUUUCUAAGAAACUCCAUGAAAUGAGGAAAUACUGUUUAUAAUACUAUGCGGAAAGAGGUAAAAAUGUUCAUUCCAAGUGGAAAAUCUUAUUGGACGCAUUUUAAAUAAAAUCAUGCAUACCUGACA
Molecule: RNA transcript, 1430 nt
Organism: Carlito syrichta (Philippine tarsier)
Lineage: Eukaryota; Metazoa; Chordata; Mammalia; Primates; Tarsiidae
Exons: 2
Source: RefSeq, a predicted model, not a curated record